Capsicum annuum is the source of this 723-nucleotide long non-coding RNA. RefSeq lists it as uncharacterized. The transcript is spliced from 5 exons. Lineage: Eukaryota; Viridiplantae; Streptophyta; Magnoliopsida; Solanales; Solanaceae. The record is from RefSeq and is a predicted model, not a curated record.
UUCAUUUGCCCCCAUUUCUUUUGGGGUUUUUACUGGUUUCCUCUUUUCUAAAUCUAAAUUCUAAGCUAAAAUAUCAGCUCUCUUCCUUCUUCACUUCAAAGCGGCUGGACUUAUUCACCCAAAAUUUGCCUGCUUCAUUGUCUCUUGCUCUGGCUAACAAAUUUUUGAGUUUUCAAGUCAAUUUUGUUCAAGUUUUGAUUGUUUUUUAAGCCCAAUUUGGUUAAUGGGUAUCCAUUAUUAUAUCGGAACAUUUUGAAGAGAUGAUUCUGGUUUCAAUCUGCAUUUGUAUUGCUAGAUUGUUUCAUAUGAGCAGUGGGAGAUUAAAGAUUGUGGUGCUUUCAAAAUGUCAGAAUUGGUGGACGAACAUGCCUAAGAUCCCUCAAGCAUCCUGCUCAAGUUGCUAAAUGAAAAAGCGUGGGAGGAUCUAACUUGUCAGUCCAUCAAUGGUCUAAUUUCCUUCGACUUCAACUCAUGCGAUGUGAAUAUGAAACGGUUUAAUCAUAUUCUGUAAUGAAAUUUUGAUCAUUAUAGCAAUGAUUUAUGUAUUAUGUUCAGUAUGUUGGUAAAUGCUCACCAGUUCUGUAUUGAUAUUAGAAAAUUAAUGAUUUUUUUUUUAAAAAUGUAUACUUUUGCCACGGUUUGAAUCGUGGCUAUCUUUUAUGUGAAUUGAACAUAUUAGCCACGGUUUCUCAUGUGGCUAAUUAAAAAUUUAAAAUUGAUUUA